UGUUGGUCAGAGUGCAGUGGUGUUUACAGCUAAUUGAUCACAACCAGUUACAGAUUCCUUUGUUCCUUCUCCUUCUCGACUCCCACUGCUUCACUUGACAAGCCUUAA
RNAcentral lists this Y RNA (108 nucleotides) under Prolemur simus (greater bamboo lemur). RNAcentral's name for it is "Y RNA (ENSPSMG00000002438.1)". It matches the Rfam family "Y RNA". From Rfam's summary of the family: Y RNAs are components of the Ro ribonucleoprotein particle (Ro RNP), in association with Ro60 and La proteins. Lineage: Eukaryota; Metazoa; Chordata; Mammalia; Primates; Lemuridae. The record is from Rfam by way of RNAcentral.